CCGUGAGGUUUGCAGAGCAAUCUGAGGGUUUAUAUGAGAGGGAAUUGGUUCUUUGUCAAUGAGUUCCCUUCAGCCUCUGGAGGUUGCUCUGAACUCUGUUAGCUCUUCUCUCACUUUCUUUUUCCUGCCAGGGUAAUAGGAACGACAUGUCUUUGUUUCACUGAAACUCUGAAUUUAUAACCUGGUUUUUGUGGACCUGUGGGCUCAAAUGAGAGAGGCCCAAGUCUAUUUUUUU
RNAcentral lists this long non-coding RNA (235 nucleotides) under Lathyrus oleraceus (garden pea). RNAcentral's name for it is "Pisum sativum (pea) long non-coding RNA (PSAT_LNC004267)". Lineage: Eukaryota; Viridiplantae; Streptophyta; Magnoliopsida; Fabales; Fabaceae. The record is from RNAcentral.